RNAcentral lists this unclassified non-coding RNA (353 nucleotides) under soil metagenome. RNAcentral describes it as "partial contains 5.8S ribosomal RNA, internal transcribed spacer 2, and large subunit ribosomal RNA". The stretch from base 1 to 120 matches the Rfam family "5.8S ribosomal RNA", at positions 35 to 154 of the family's 154-position model. The record is from RNAcentral.
GAUGAAGAACGUAGCGAAAUGCGAUAAGUAAUGUGAAUUGCAGAAUUCAGUGAAUCAUCGAAUCUUUGAACGCACAUUGCGCCCGCCAGUAUUCUGGCGGGCAUGCCUGUUCGAGCGUCAUUACAACCCUCAGGCCCCCGGGCCUGGCGUUGGGGAUCGGCGGAAGCCCCCUGCGGGCACAACGCCGUCCCCCAAAUACAGUAGCGGUCCCGCCGCAGCUUCCAUUGCGUAGUAGCUAACACCUCGCAACUGGAGAGCGGCGCGGCCACGCCGUAAAACACCCAACUUCUGAAUGUUGACCUCGAAUCAGGUAGGAAUACCCGCUGAACUUAAGCAUAUCAAUAAGCGGAGGA